Molecule: ribosomal RNA, 273 nt
Filed under: uncultured bacterium
Lineage: Bacteria
Description: partial 16S ribosomal RNA
Rfam family: Bacterial small subunit ribosomal RNA
Source: RNAcentral
UACGUAGGGUGCAAGCGUUGUCCGGAAUUACUGGGCGUAAAGAGUUCGUAGGCGGUUUGUCGCGUCGUUUGUGAAAACCAGCAGCUCAACUGCUGGCUUGCAGGCGAUACGGGCAGACUUGAGUACUGCAGGGGAGACUGGAAUUCCUGGUGUAGCGGUGAAAUGCGCAGAUAUCAGGAGGAACACCGGUGGCGAAGGCGGGUCUCUGGGCAGUAACUGACGCUGAGGAACGAAAGCGUGGGUAGCGAACAGGAUUAGAUACCCGUGUAGUCC